GUUUGACCUCGGAUCAGGUAGGAAUACCCG
This 30-nucleotide ribosomal RNA is filed under the name Cylindrocarpon didymum. RNAcentral describes it as "partial 28S ribosomal RNA". Lineage: Eukaryota; Fungi; Ascomycota; Sordariomycetes; Hypocreales; Nectriaceae. The record is from RNAcentral.